CAAGUAGAGGUUGCGUUGAUCAAGAGUAGCCGCCGGAUGCAUCGGAUGCAGGAGAAGGCAGGCGAAAGGGUGAUACGCCGAAGGGCUGGCGGAUUCCGAUAGGCCGGCGCCUGGGCGCAGGGUAAAUAAUCCUGCGACUGUCAUUGCUGUGUGAGGGAAUGUGCUGAAAAGCAUAGGACUAAUGCAGAGUAAAUGGUGAGCUACU
Molecule: non-coding RNA, 205 nt
Filed under: chicken gut metagenome
Description: Lysine riboswitch
Rfam family: Lysine riboswitch aptamer
About the family: Riboswitches are metabolite binding domains within certain messenger RNAs that serve as precision sensors for their corresponding targets. Allosteric rearrangement of mRNA structure is mediated by ligand binding, and this results in modulation of gene expression.
Source: RNAcentral